CCUACGGGGGGCAGCAGUGAGGAAUAUUGGUCAAUGGGCGCUAGCCUGAACCAGCCAAGUCGCGUGAGGGAUGACUGCCCUGUGGGUUGUAGACUUCUUUUGUCUGGGGAUAAAGUGCAGGAUGUAUCCUGCUUUGCGUGUACCUUGUGAAUAAGGAUCGGCUAACUCCGUGCCAGCAGCCGCGGUAAUACGGAGGAUCCGAGCGUUAUCCGGAUUUAUUGGGUUUAAAGGGAGCGUAGGCGGGUCGUUAAGUCAGUGGUGAAAGUGUGCGGCUCAACCGUAACAUUGCAAUUGAUACUGGCAGCCUUGAGUGCAGUGGAGGCAAGCGGAAUGCGCGGUGUAGCGGUGAAAUGCAUAGAUAUCACGCAGAACCCCGAUUGCGAAGGCAGCGUACUAAGCUGUGACUGACACUGAGGCACGAAAGCGCGGGGAUCAAACAGGAUUAGAUACCCUAGUAGUC
Molecule: ribosomal RNA, 460 nt
Filed under: uncultured bacterium
Lineage: Bacteria
Description: partial 16S ribosomal RNA
Rfam family: Bacterial small subunit ribosomal RNA
Source: RNAcentral